AUAUGCAUUCGUGGUCCCGGGUCGGUACUGUUCUGGCCCGGAUCGACCGCCUAUGUUGCCCAAUCACCUGCAUUUUCUUCCACCGUCUUCUUCUUCUGCUUUCUUUCUACUGAUGCACCACUUUAAAUUCCUGGACGGCGUUACUCAUCUUCCUGAUUUUUCUUCGUCGCUUACUUCCACCGCCUCUCCUUCUUCUUUACCACCUUUAACUCCAACAGGGUUGGUUUAAUCACUCCACCUACCCUUCUUCUACCAAACAACUUUCCAUUUCCAGUUCCUUCCACCGUUCCUCCAAACCACCAAUAUUCUCUAAGAAACGAAUAAUCUUCGUCGGCUUCUCUGUCACAGGAAAACUUCAUCGCCGAUUGCCUCUCUCCAACGGCCUUCAGAAAUCUCCGUCGCUGACAACUUCUCAUGCACCGCUGUCGACAGCUUCUCACAGAAGGAUCCCUGGAACCAGUCGGUCCGCUUUCUCACAGCCUCCUCCACCACCAGCUUCGUACCCUACAGCUACACCGUCUCACCUCAGGUUCCUUUUUCUUCCUUUUUUCUGAUUUCUUUUGAAAUCGACAAUAUUGAUACCAAUUUCAUGGUUAUCAGUGUCGUUGGUGAUGGUGAUGAUGUUUUUUUGCUUAUUGUGGUUGUGUGUUGACUGAUGUCAACAAUCCAUCUUCGUCUACAUUUAUCGGAUGUCUCUUGAUUUGAUUAGUCUUAUGCCUUAGAUUUCUUAGGAACGAAAGUCUUGAUGAUGAACAACCCACUCAAAGUUAAUAGAAGGAUAGAAAUCAAAUGCUUAGAAUAAGCAAAAUCAUAGAAAUCAGAUUGCAGGCAAGUUGUUCGAUCAAAUGCCUAACAGGGAUUACUUUCUUUAUAUGCAUUUUUUUCAAUCAAUUACAUGUUUAAGUUUUAACUUUUGAAUUUUGAUGUUGGUUGCUUGUCAGUUGGUUCCGAUUCUGAGUACCACAUUUUAAUCCGGUAACGUUUAUCUACUUUACUCUUGCGUUUUCUUGAAUCGAUUCCUACAAUACUUGUAACAUGUUUUUUUGCUGGAUUUGUAGGUCCGAUUUUUUAAUAUGGAUUCGGUUAGUUUGAUAAUAUUAUUGUGGCUUAAAUAUGUUUUCUGUUGUUUUUCGUAAUCUGAGGUACUCUUCUUCUUUCUUCCAUUACAUCAGUUCCGAUUUCCUUAUCCGGUACAAUGUCAAUUCGUAAGUAUAUAGUUCAUAUACAUAUUCCCUCUAUUGAAAUGUACUGUUCAGAUUUUUGCUUUCUUAAGUUGAUUUCGUUUAUUGGCUAUGCUAAAUAGUAUGAUAUCGGUUGAUACUUAGCAAGAACAACAACAUUUUUACAUCUAUUUCUAGCUAUUUCAGGGGUUUCAUUUGUUAUCCAUAUCUACAAUGCACUUAAAUAGAUAAAUGCAACCACUUCAGUUCCACCCUGAAGAUCCUUCGUCUCCAUUUCAAAAAAGUUAUAACGUAACCAGAAACUGUCAAGCUCAAAACAGGAAUGUAGCACUAAUUCACGUGGUGGCAAGUAGAUCGAAAGGCAACAUUAAGAGGAAUAACCUUUUUGCAGUCUGAUAAAGUAACUUUUUUUUUUCUUUUUCAGGAAAGGAACCGAGCUUCAAUUUAAGAUUAAGAAUGUAGUCUGAUAGGCAACCUAUUAUUUUUUAAGUUUUCUUUAUUUUACUACCAUUUAAUGAAAAAAAAUAAUAAUAAUAAUAUUACUUUAUUUUGUUAAUGAAGGUUGAAAUAAGCACAAUGCUUGUGGAAACUGUUCAAUAUCUUAAAAUUUUCCAACUCCAAUUCAAGCUUUCUCUUGCUUACAAUGGUCUAGACAUUGGACUUGAUGGCGUGUGAGGAGAAGAUUUUGGGUCUGAAAAUGGAGCCUUCAAGGAAAAUUGCUAUAAUUUCGAUCAUUUUUCAUUUUAUAGACUUUACUUUUACUUUUAACUUUUAAAUUCAAUAUUAGAUUUGAUACUCGCUUUUUACAUGAACCUUUUUAUAUAAACUUGAGUUCAUAAAUGUGAGAAAUUUAUCAUUUCUAUUUGUUUCAUCUGUCAUACAGUUUAUUUGACUACAAAUAUCCCGAAUUUAAUUUUUAUUUUACUUGUUGUUUGUUUAUUUUAUUUUUAUAAAUAGCAUGAUUUCCUACUUCAUGUAUGCUCUUGAAACAAAGCCCAUAAAACCAUUUGACUAUACCUAAAAACUCAAAAAAUACUGAAGGCUUCAAACCCCAGCAAUGCGGGGAACUUCUCUGGUUAGCAUAAAGUGUUUGUAUUAUAUAUACAUAUAUUAAAAAUCAACGAUUUUCUCCAAUCUUUCUGAAUUUGUGCAAAAAUAUCGACAAAAAUGGUUUCUUGAUAUGUAAAAUUUGUUGCAUUUGUUGAUUUUUCAACUACUUCUUCAAUCAUGCUCCUACUCGGCAAAGAACGGCUUCAUUCCAGUUCCAUUGGAAUCGAGGAACGAAACACAAUCUGAUAGUCAUACCUUCACCCAAGACUCGAUAUCGAUAAAUACUCGAGGAUUCAAUGAUACAAUCGCGUGUUGGAAGACAAAGUCAGGAAGAGGAAUCGGCGUGUUGUGGAUGUCUGAUAUCUCUGUGCACAAGGAGAAGAAAAGAAUUCGACAAAUACGAUGAAGAUGAAGCCAACAUCAGCGUGUGUUGUGUCAACGGUUUGGUUUUUACACAAAAAAUGAUCAAAUAACAAACACAGGUGGUGGUAUGGAUGGAAAGUAUUAAGAAUCCUCGACCCUAAUCUAACUCCAAAAGGAUAUUCAUGUAUAUGGCUUGAUAAAACGGGAAUGCUCGAUAUCAACGAUAUGUGUAUUAUCUGGAAAUUAGAAAAAUCAUGGUAUCCAUUCUGUAAUUUAAGUGUAUUAUUGAGUUGAAUUUUGAAAUAAGCGGAUCUAGAGAGUUGUUAUUUGAAUUAAAAAGGGAAAGAUACUAUUAAUAAUUAUCAUGGAGUUAAUUAAGUUCAAAGAUUAUUUAUCUACUACAAGUCUGCAUUCAUAGAGAAGGUUUAGUAGGCUGCUAUUGUCUAAAUGCCAACAACUUUAAUGCCAAGUCAUACAUUUAAUUUAAAUGAAAACACAGUAUUUUUGGCUUCUAUUUUAAGUUAUGGUGUGAUGCACCUUUUAUUAUUAGAUUGGGACUCAUGUAAAUGUUAAGUGGACCAAAUAAUUUUAGUUACACCAUGGUGGGCUACUAAUUGUACAGGCUGAGCCAUUUUUCAUCUCAGUUGACAUGAGGCGAGUUCAAUGAUAAAAGUUAAAAAUAUAUAUAUA
Lactuca sativa (garden lettuce) is the source of this 3284-nucleotide non-coding RNA. The record is from RefSeq and is a predicted model, not a curated record. NCBI's taxonomy places the organism in Eukaryota, Viridiplantae, Streptophyta, Magnoliopsida, Asterales, Asteraceae.